AAAGUUCCAAAAUAAUACUCUCUAUGUUUUAUAAUAGAUAAAAUUUUGGUCAUUUACAGGCAUGUUAAGAAAAUGUAUUUUCUAAACAAAAAAAAUCAAUGAAAUAUAAUUUAAAAUUAAUUUAUUUAAUUAUAAACAAAAAUAAUAAAAAUAUAAUUGGCUACACCAUAAAAAAAAACAAUUGGCUACAUAGUCUUUGAUAAAAUUAAAGUUACAUAUAUAUAUAUAUAUAUAAACAUCAGAUAAAAUAAAAAUAAUUACCUAAAACAUCAUUUAUAUUGAAACGGAAAAAUACAUUUUAAUGCAAAAUGCAAACAUUCGGUUAUUUCACAACGCCGAAUAUGAAAAUGAGCUUUGUAAUCAAUUCAUUUCCAUAUUACCCUGACUGAGAGG
RNAcentral lists this long non-coding RNA (393 nucleotides) under Brassica rapa (field mustard). RNAcentral describes it as "long non-coding RNA (BRAP_LNC000201)". Lineage: Eukaryota; Viridiplantae; Streptophyta; Magnoliopsida; Brassicales; Brassicaceae. The record is from RNAcentral.